This 1325-nucleotide ribosomal RNA is filed under the name metagenome. Its description in RNAcentral is "bacterial LSU rRNA". It matches the Rfam family "Bacterial large subunit ribosomal RNA", at positions 1561 to 2925 of the family's 2925-position model. The record is from RNAcentral.
AGUGGAUGGGGAGCAACCUAGUUGUGCGUGUGUAAAGGUAGUGCCAAGAAAAGCGGUGAUCAUGAUGAAAAUCAAUUCCCGGUACCCGAAACCGACACAGGUGGGCAAGUAGAGAAUACUAAGGGGCGCGAGGUAACUCUCUCCAAGGAACUCGGCAAAAUGACCCCGUAACUUAGGGAGAAGGGGUGCCACCGAGAGGUGGUCGCAGUGAAGAGGCCCAGGCGACUGUUUAGCAAAAACAUAGGUCUCUGCAAACUCGAAAGAGGAGGUAUAGGGGCUGACGCCUGCCCAGUGCCGGAAGGUUAAAGAAGUUGGUCAGUCUUAGGAUGAAGCUAGCGACUGAAGCCCCGGUGAACGGCGGCCGUAACUAUAACGGUCCUAAGGUAGCGAAAUUCCUUGUCGGGUAAGUUCCGACCCGCACGAAAGGCGCAACGAUCUGGGCGCUGUCUCGGAGAGAGGCUCGGCGAAAUAGGAUUGUCUGUGAAGAUACGGACUACCUGCAUUUGGACAGAAAGACCCUAUGAAGCUUUACUAUAGCUUGGAAUUGUGUUCGGGCUUCCUGUGCGCAGGAUAGGUGGGAGGCGUAGAAGGUAUUCUUGUGGGGAUACUGGAGCCAACGGUGAGAUACCACUCUCAGGAGGCUAGAAUUCUAACUUAAUUAAGGACAGUUUCAGGUGGGUAGUUUGACUGGGGCGGUCGCCUCCAAAAAGGUAACGGAGGCGUACAAAGGUUCCCUCAGACUGGUUGGAAAUCAGUCGAAGAGUGCAAAGGCAGAAGGGAGCUUGACUGCGAGAAGUACAGUUCGAGCAGGGUGGAAACACGGUCUUAGUGAUCCGACGGUGCUGUGUGGAAGGGCCGUCGCUCAACGGAUAAAAGUUACUCUAGGAUAACAGGCUGAUCUCCCCCAAGAGUUCACAUCGACGGGGAGGUUUGGCACCUCGAUGUCGGCUCAUCGCAACCUGGGGCGGAAGUACGUCCCAAGGGUUGGGCUGUUCGCCCAUUAAAGCGGUACGUGAGCUGGGUUCAGAACGUCGUGAGACAGUUCGGUCCAUAUCCGAUGUAGGCGUGAGAAUAUUGAGAGGAGCCUUCCUUAGUACGAGAGGACCGGGAAGGACGCACCGCUGGUGUACCUGUUAUGAUGCCAAUUGUAAACGCAGGGUAGCCAAGUGCGGAGAGGAUAACCGCUGAAAGCAUCUAAGUGGGAAGCCCACCUCAAGAUGAGUAUUCUGGUGUAAGGUCACGGGAAGACGACCCGUAAAUAGGCACGAGGUGGAAGUGCAGAGAUGUAUGAAGCCGAAGUGUACUAAUAGACCGUCGGCUUGACC